RNAcentral lists this ribosomal RNA (467 nucleotides) under uncultured bacterium. Its description in RNAcentral is "partial 16S ribosomal RNA". It matches the Rfam family "Bacterial small subunit ribosomal RNA", at positions 28 to 507 of the family's 1533-position model. The record is from RNAcentral.
GACGAACGCUGGCGGCGUGCUUAACACAUGCAAGUCGAACGGAAAGGCCCUGCUUUUGUGGGGUGCUCGAGUGGCGAACGGGUGAGUAACACGUGAGUAACCUGCCCUUGACUUUGGGAUAACUUCAGGAAACUGGGGCUAAUACCGGAUAGGAGCUCCUUCUGCAUGGUGGGGGUUGGAAAGUUUCGGCGGUUGGGAUGGACUCGCGGCUUAUCAGCUUGUUGGUGGGGUAGUGGCUUACCAAGGCUUUGACGGGUAGCCGGCCUGAGAGGGUGACCGGCCACAUUGGGACUGAGAUACGGCCCAGACUCCUACGGGAGGCAGCAGUGGGGAAUAUUGCACAAUGGGCGGAAGCCUGAUGCAGCAACGCCGCGUGCGGGAUGACGGCCUUCGGGUUGUAAACCGCUUUCGCCUGUGACGAAGCGUGAGUGACGGUAAUGGGUAAAGAAGCACCGGCUAACUACGUG